RNAcentral lists this transfer RNA (73 nucleotides) under Paramecium bursaria Chlorella virus 1. It matches the Rfam family "tRNA". From Rfam's summary of the family: Transfer RNA (tRNA) molecules are approximately 80 nucleotides in length. Their secondary structure includes four short double-helical elements and three loops (D, anti-codon, and T loops). Lineage: Varidnaviria; Bamfordvirae; Nucleocytoviricota; Megaviricetes; Algavirales; Phycodnaviridae. RNAcentral also lists the same sequence under 8 other names. The record is from Rfam by way of RNAcentral.
GCCCGUCUAGCUCAGUCGGUAGAGCGCCAGACUUUUAAUCUGGUGGUCGUGGGUUCGAGCCCCACGAUGGGCA